Nothoprocta perdicaria is the source of this 933-nucleotide long non-coding RNA. RefSeq lists it as uncharacterized. Lineage: Eukaryota; Metazoa; Chordata; Aves; Tinamiformes; Tinamidae. The transcript is spliced from 3 exons. The record is from RefSeq and is a predicted model, not a curated record.
GAGAAAGCUCUGCUGCCUCCAGUAAAGGAGGCAAUUGGAGUUGGGCACCAAGCCCUCUACACGCAUGGGCGUUGAGGACAUGGAAAGCCCAUUUCUUCUCGUCUCUGUGGCUCAGGCUUCCAGCUCCUCUGGUGGAAAAAUGCAGCUUCUGGAAACCGAGUUCUCUCGAACCAUCCGGGAGCUCAUCGAACUCCACCUGCUUCGCCAGGACAGCAUCCCAGCCUUCCUCAGCGCCCUCACCCUCGACCUCUUCAGCCGCCAAACCAUCACUUAGUUCAUACCAGUCCUGCCAACACCCACCAGCCAGGUGGGAACUGCUGUCUUGAGGAGCCACAGCAUUGCUGCUAACAGCUUUUCCCAAGAGGAUCUCCCAAAUCGGGGCCUCAGCCAACAGACAGAUAUGGAUGUAGAGGAAGACUGGUCUGAAUGGUCCCCUCCAACUGGAGCCAAGAGCUUGGUCCCUGAGGCAGGAUAUUGGUGAAGGAUCAGAGUCAUGAAUUAGCAGGUUUGUUUUAAAUACCUUCUGCUCUUGCUAGUAGCUCAUCAUUGAGCAGGGUUGAAAUAAUGUUCAAGUUAUCUAAUUACCUGAGUCUCCGUCCUGGAAAGCCAGCCCCUGGUCUGCCAUGACUCCGCAGCCAAGCAUAAGUACAAAUGGAUUUUAGAAGACCCUCUGCCUUUACUGUCUCCUCACUGCCAUGGGGUGUGCUCUGAUGUCACUGACCUGCUUUUUGUUUCUUAUCAAGACUCAUGGACUCUUGGUUGUCUCAGGAUUGCAGAUGAUGGGAGGGAUCUUUGCUGUACUGCUGGUUUUAGCCUGGUGCUUGUGAUCAGGCUGUGGUAACUACCCACCUUGUUGUGGAUGUCUCCUUCCCUUGAAAGUGUCUGUUGAGGAUGGAGCACCCCUUGAAGUCUGACAUUCUGUGUUGCAAUGGA